RNAcentral lists this ribosomal RNA (450 nucleotides) under uncultured bacterium. RNAcentral's name for it is "partial 16S ribosomal RNA". It matches the Rfam family "Bacterial small subunit ribosomal RNA", at positions 354 to 796 of the family's 1533-position model. The record is from RNAcentral.
GUGGGGAAUUUUGGACAAUGGGCGAAAGCCUGAUCCAGCAAUGCCGCGUGUGUGAAGAAGGCCUUCGGGUUGUAAAGCACUUUUGGCAGGGAAGAAACAGUGCGUGCUAAUACCAUGCGCGAAUGACGGUACCUGCAGAAUAAGCACCGGCUAACUACGUGCCAGCAGCCGCGGUAAUACGUAGGGUGCAAGCGUUAAUCGGAAUUACUGGGCGUAAAGCGUGCGCAGGCGGCUUUGUAAGACGGAUGUGAAAGCCCCGGGCUCAACCUGGGAAGUGCAUUCGUGACUGCAAGGCUAGAGUGUGUCAGGGGGAGGUGGAAUUCCGCGUGUAGCAGUGAAAUGCGUAGAGAUGCGGAGGAACACCGAUGGCGAAGGCAGCCUCCUGGGAUAACACUGACGCUCAGGCACGAAAGCGUGGGGAGCAAACAGGAUUAGAAACCCUAGUAGUCC